GCCCUAUAAAUUUUCCUGCCUGAACACCCAUAUCAACAACCCCUGGAGUAAAAGCAGCAACUAAACUCACCUUCCCCUUAUCCGGACCGGAGCCCAAAACCACAGCUGCUGGAUCUUGUAGCACAUCAAUCAGAUAUUCAGCUGCACUCUUAAGUGAAUCAGCAUCAACAUCAUCCAUGCUUUCAACUAGAACCCUAAUUUUUUUUGAAGUUCCCACUAAGAAUGCCUUGC
RNAcentral lists this unclassified non-coding RNA (231 nucleotides) under Hevea brasiliensis (rubber tree). The record is from RNAcentral. Lineage: Eukaryota; Viridiplantae; Streptophyta; Magnoliopsida; Malpighiales; Euphorbiaceae.